CCUACGGGAGGCAGCAGUGAGGAAUAUUGGUCAAUGGCCGAGAGGCUGAACCAGCCAAGUCGCGUGAGGGAAGAAUGUCCUAUGGAUUGUAAACCUCUUUUGUCAGGGAGCAAAGUCACCCACGUGUGGGUGUUGGAGAGUACCUGAAGAAAAAGCAUCGGCGAACUACGGGCCAGCAGCCGCGGUAAUACGGAGGAUGCGAGCGUUAUCCGGAUUUAUUGGGUUUAAAGGGUGCGUAGGCGGGUUAUCAAGUCAGCGGUAAAAUCGUGGAGCUCAACUCCAACCAGCUGUUGAAAAUAACGAUCUUGAGUGGGCGAGAGGGAUGCGGAAUGCGUGGUGUAGCGGUGAAAUGCAUAGAUAUCACGAAGAACUCCGAUUGCGAAGGCAGCAUACUGGCGCCAGACUGACGCUGAAGCACGAAAGCGUGGGUAUCGAACAGGAUUAGAUACCCGAGUAGUC
RNAcentral lists this ribosomal RNA (459 nucleotides) under uncultured bacterium. RNAcentral describes it as "partial 16S ribosomal RNA". It matches the Rfam family "Bacterial small subunit ribosomal RNA", at positions 338 to 795 of the family's 1533-position model. The record is from RNAcentral.